AACGAACGCUGGCGGCAUGCCUAACACAUGCAAGUCGAACGAGACCUUCGGGUCUAGUGGCGCACGGGUGCGUAACGCGUGGGAACCUGCCCUUAGGUUCGGAAUAACUCCCCGAAAGGGGUGCUAAUACCGGAUAAUGUCUUCGGACCAAAGAUUUAUCGCCUUUGGAUGGGCCCGCGCUGGAUUAGCUAGUUGGUAGGGUAAAAGCCUACCAAGGCGACGAUCCAUAGCUGGUCUGAGAGGAUGAUCAGCCACACUGGGACUGAGACACGGCCCAGACUCCUACGGGAGGCAGCAGUGGGGAAUAUUGGACAAUGGGCGAAAGCCUGAUCCAGCAAUGCCGCGUGAGUGAUGGAGGCCUUAGGGUUGUAAAGCUCUUUUACCCGGGAUGAUAAUGACAGUACCGGGAGAAUAAGCUCCGGCUAACUCCGUG
Molecule: ribosomal RNA, 433 nt
Filed under: uncultured bacterium
Lineage: Bacteria
Description: partial 16S ribosomal RNA
Rfam family: Bacterial small subunit ribosomal RNA
Source: RNAcentral